This 495-nucleotide ribosomal RNA is filed under the name uncultured bacterium. Its description in RNAcentral is "partial 16S ribosomal RNA". It matches the Rfam family "Bacterial small subunit ribosomal RNA", at positions 28 to 505 of the family's 1533-position model. The record is from RNAcentral.
GACGAACGCUGGCGGCGUGCCUAAUACAUGCAAGUUGAGCGCUGAAGGUUGGUACUUGUACCAACUGGAUGAGCAGCGAACGGGUGAGUAACGCGUGGGGAAUCUGCCUUUGAGCGGGGGACAACAUUUGGAAACGAAUGCUAAUACCGCAUAAAAACUUUAAACACAAGUUUUAAGUUUGAAAGAUGCAAUUGCAUCACUCAAAGAUGAUCCCGCGUUGUAUUAGCUAGUUGGUGAGGUAAAGGCUCACCAAGGCGAUGAUACAUAGCCGACCUGAGAGGGGUAUCGGCCACAUUGGGACUGACACCCGGCCCAACCCCCCACGGGAGGCCGCAGUAGGGAAUUUUGGGCAAUGGACGAAAUUCUAACCGGGCAACGCCGGGGGGGGAAAAAAGUUUUUCGGAUCUUAAAACUCUUUUGGUAGAAAAAAACGUUGGGGAGGGUGGAAAGCCCAUCAAGGGCCGGUAACUCCCCAGAAAGGGCCGGCUAACUACC